Molecule: long non-coding RNA, 693 nt
Organism: Oryzias melastigma (Indian medaka)
Lineage: Eukaryota; Metazoa; Chordata; Actinopteri; Beloniformes; Adrianichthyidae
Exons: 2
Source: RefSeq, a predicted model, not a curated record
AGCAUUUGUACUGAUUCUCACAGUUGUAUCACACACAGAUGCUGUUUGCACAGAGGAUCUCCCUUUGUCCUUGUCUACAGUACACAAAAAGGAGAAAAAAAUAGCAGUGAAGCUGGUGUGGACCCGAUGCUUUCCAACAUUGCCUACCUGAUGAUUUGAAUGCAGCAAAAUAGUCUGGAUUCACUUUUCCACUUGCACUGGUCCUUACAAAGCCUGUGGACUCCGACACCUUCAUCCUGGAAGGAGUCACCAUCUGAGAAAACAAAAAACACGCCAAAAUGCCUUUAGUGGCAUUUUUAAUUCUACAUUUAAAUUAGAUUGUUUUUAAAAACCCCAGCAAAGGCUCCAAGUAAAAUAAACAAAUUUGAUUACUAUCAUUUGUCAAUUCUAUUCUAAUUGCAUAAGCACUGAAAUAAAAUUUCACUUUUCCACAGUAUUGAAUGAGGUAUUUUCAUGUACAAAUUAACUUUAAUUUGUCAAUCCUAAACCAUCCACCUAUAACUUAUUUACAUAGACAGAAAAAACAGGUCAUAAAAAGAGUUUAAGAGGUAAAAUGAUCUACUUAACUGUACAAAUACUAAAUCUGUAGACGUAUCUGUUAAUUCUUGCGUACCAUAUGUAUCAUUCAUCUUGAACAUAAAAAAACUGAAAUGACAUUAGUGUCUCUUAAGUCUAUCAAAUAAAAAUAAAAAA